This 585-nucleotide ribosomal RNA is filed under the name uncultured bacterium. Its description in RNAcentral is "bacterial SSU rRNA". It matches the Rfam family "Bacterial small subunit ribosomal RNA", at positions 56 to 637 of the family's 1533-position model. The record is from RNAcentral.
UGCAGUCGAACGGCAGCACGGAGCUUGCUCUGGUGGCGAGUGGCGAACGGGUGAGUAAUAUAUCGGAACGUACCCUAGAGUGGGGGAUAACGUAGCGAAAGUUACGCUAAUACCGCAUACGAUCUAAGGAUGAAAGUGGGGGAUCGCAAGACCUCAUGCUCGUGGAGCGGCCGAUAUCUGAUUAGCUAGUUGGUAGGGUAAAAGCCUACCAAGGCAUCGAUCAGUAGCUGGUCUGAGAGGACGACCAGCCACACUGGAACUGAGACACGGUCCAGACUCCUACGGGAGGCAGCAGUGGGGAAUUUUGGACAAUGGGCGAAAGCCUGAUCCAGCAAUGCCGCGUGAGUGAAGAAGGCCUUCGGGUUGUAAAGCUCUUUUGUCAGGGAAGAAACGGUGAAAGCUAAUAUCUUUUGCUAAUGACGGUACCUGAAGAAUAAGCACCGGCUAACUACGUGCCAGCAGCCGCGGUAAUACGUAGGGUGCAAGCGUUAAUCGGAAUUACUGGGCGUAAAGCGUGCGCAGGCGGUUUUGUAAGUCUGAUGUGAAAUCCCCGGGCUCAACCUGGGAAUUGCAUUGGAGACUGCA